UAGGGAAUCUUCCACAAUGGGCGCAAGCCUGAUGGAGCAACACCGCGUGAGUGAAGAAGGGUUUCGGCUCGUAAAGCUCUGUUGUUAAAGAAGAACACGUAUGAGAGUAACUGUUCAUACGUUGACGGUAUUUAACCAGAAAGUCACGGCUAACUACGUGGCAG
RNAcentral lists this ribosomal RNA (164 nucleotides) under uncultured bacterium. RNAcentral's name for it is "partial 16S ribosomal RNA". It matches the Rfam family "Bacterial small subunit ribosomal RNA", at positions 355 to 511 of the family's 1533-position model. The record is from RNAcentral.